This is a non-coding RNA of Peromyscus maniculatus bairdii (prairie deer mouse), 202 nucleotides long. The record is from RefSeq and is a predicted model, not a curated record. Lineage: Eukaryota; Metazoa; Chordata; Mammalia; Rodentia; Cricetidae.
UCUUAUAGAACCCAGGACCACCAGCCCAGGAAUAGCACUACCCACCAUGGGCUGGGCCCUCUCCCAUCAAUCACUAACCAAGAAAGUGCCCUGCAGCUGGAUCUGAUGGUGGCAUUUUCUCAAUUGAGGCUCCCUUGUUUCAGAUGACUACAGCUUGUGUCAAGUUGACAUAAAACGAGCCAGGACUUGGCAUGUGUAGCCU